GGGCAUGCGCAGAGACCUCCCCUUCCCAAGGCCCGUGAGGAGUGGGCGGGGAUUCUGGAGGAGAGGGUAGGAAGACAGAAGAGGAACUCCAGGGCUAAGGGUCUCACUGUGAGCUCUCUAUGUCCAUUCCCAGAAACGGCAGCUUCCUUCUCUAGUCCACUCGUUACAUCAGAUACUAAACAUUUAUGGUGCAUGUAUGUUACAGACUACACAGCAGUGUGCCAGAGGAGUAGACAUUUUGCCUUUCAUUUUGGAAUUCCCAUUGGACUGAUGAGAGGAAUAAAUAAAUAAGAGAUCAUUCUACAUUUGAAAGAGCAAACAUUAAUUACACUCUUCGUGAUAGAGGGAAGGAAAAUGGCUUGCAGUGCUAAUGAAAGCUUAGUUGAGAAAUGGAAACACAGGCAUAGAAGUCAGAAGGCAAACUUACCUGUUGGGGAAGAUAAACAAAGGGCAAAGCCUUGAAGUAGUCUGUGAAUUCCUGAAUGCUCAGAGGCAAGAAUACCCUGACUGCUGUUUGGAGGGUUAAGAAAACAGCAGCUGGAAAUACAGUUGAAACUCAUCUGGAAAUAAUCUUUAAUGUUUUCCCCAAGAUUCCAACUCUAGUGAAUAAAUGGGAAAUUCUUGAAAUGGGAGAAAGGAAUCCUGCCUUGGCCUUUUGAGGAUUUUAUCCCAUUGACAAAUGUGACUGAAGCAAUAUUUUAACAAGGUGACAUCAGGCUUGGUGACACAUGCCUAUAAUCCCACCACUUGGGAGGCUGAGAAAAGAUGACCCAGUGAAGCCUUGAUUACAUAGAAGACCCCAUAUCAAAAAGUGAAAAACUAGAUCCUCUAAAAGCAAAACAAAUAAAACACUCUAAAGCAACAA
Molecule: non-coding RNA, 865 nt
Organism: Cricetulus griseus (Chinese hamster)
Lineage: Eukaryota; Metazoa; Chordata; Mammalia; Rodentia; Cricetidae
Source: RefSeq, a predicted model, not a curated record